Molecule: small nucleolar RNA, 107 nt
Organism: Lactuca sativa (garden lettuce)
Lineage: Eukaryota; Viridiplantae; Streptophyta; Magnoliopsida; Asterales; Asteraceae
Source: RefSeq, a predicted model, not a curated record
AGAUCAUGGUGUGGGCAAUUUCUAAGAAGACCUUUGUACCUUUCCCACGCCUCAUAAAGGGAUUCUCCGGGUUGUUGCUCGAAGUUGGCAAUGGCUUUCUUCAACUU